RNAcentral lists this non-coding RNA (67 nucleotides) under Candidatus Merdisoma merdipullorum. Lineage: Bacteria; Bacillati; Bacillota; Clostridia; Lachnospirales; Lachnospiraceae. The record is from RNAcentral.
AGCCGAAACGGUCAGAAAUGGCCGUCCUCCGCGGGAUCGCCUCCCGGAGCUGAUGAGGCAGGCGAGA